This 627-nucleotide ribosomal RNA is filed under the name fungal endophyte. Its description in RNAcentral is "eukaryotic LSU rRNA". The stretch from base 191 to 344 matches the Rfam family "5.8S ribosomal RNA". The record is from RNAcentral. Lineage: Eukaryota; Fungi.
CGGAGGGAUCAUUAAAGAGUUCUAUAACUCCCAAACCCAUGUGAACAUACCUAACGUUGCCUCGGCAGGUCGCACCUACCUUGUAGCACCCUACCCUGUAGGGCCUACCCGGGAGGUGCGGGUAAGCCUGUCGGCGGCCCACCAAACUCUGUUUGAUAUUGAAUUCUGAACCUAUAACUAAAUAAGUUAAAACUUUCAACAACGGAUCUCUUGGUUCUGGCAUCGAUGAAGAACGCAGCGAAAUGCGAUAAGUAAUGUGAAUUGCAGAAUUCAGUGAAUCAUCGAAUCUUUGAACGCAUAUUGCGCCCAUUAGUAUUCUAGUGGGCAGGACCGUUCGAGCGUCAUUUCAACCCUUAAGCCUUCGUUGCUUAGUGUUGGGAGCCUACGGCAACGUAGCUCCUCAAAGUUAGUGGCGGAGUUGGUUCACACUCUAGACGUAGUAAUUUUUUAUCUCGCCUAUUAGUUGGACUAAUCCCCUGCCGUAAAACCCCCAAUUUAUCAAGGUUGACCUCGAAUCGGUUCAGACAAACUCGCUAAAUUGAAGCAUCUUAGUCAGCGAAGGAAAAGAAACCAACAGGGAUUGCCCUAGUAACGGCGAGUGAAGCGGCAACAGCUCAAAUUUGAAAU